Molecule: ribosomal RNA, 497 nt
Filed under: uncultured bacterium
Lineage: Bacteria
Description: partial 16S ribosomal RNA
Rfam family: Bacterial small subunit ribosomal RNA
Source: RNAcentral
GAUGAACGCUGGCGGCGUGCCUAAUACAUGCAAGUCGAGCGAACAGACGAGGAGCUUGCUCCUCUGACGUUAGCGGCGGACGGGUGAGUAACACGUGGAUAACCUACCUAUAAGACUGGGAUAACUUCGGGAAACCGGAUCUAAUACCGGAUAAUAUAUUGAACCGCAUGGUUCAAUAGUGAAAGACGGUUUUGCUGUCACUAAUAGAUGGAUCCGCGCCGCAUUGGCUAGUUGGUAAGGUAACGGCUUACCAAGGCAACGAUGCGUAGCCGACCUGAGAGGGUGAUCGGCCACACUGGAACUGAGACACGGUCCAGACUCCUACGGGAGGCAGCAGUAGGGAAUCUUCCGCAAUGGGCGAAAGCUUGACGCAGCAACGCCGCGUGAGUGAUGAAGGUCUUCGGAUCGUAAAACUCUGUUAUUAGGGAAGAACAGAUGUGUAAGUAACUAUGCACGUCUUGACGGUACCUAAUCAGAAAGCCACGGCUAACUACGUG